GAUGAACGCUAGCUACAGGCUUAACACAUGCAAGUCGAGGGGUAACGAGAGGAAAGCUUGCUUUCCUUGUCGACGACCGGCGCACGGGUGAGUAACGCGUAUCCAACCUGCCCCCAACUAGGGAAUAACCUUGCGAAAGUAAGACUAAUACCCUAUAAUUUCCUCAGAUGACAUCUGACGAGGAAUAAAGAUUUAUCGGUUGUGGAUGGGGAUGCGUCUGAUUAGCUUGUUGGCGGGGUAACGGCCCACCAAGGCAACGAUCAGUAGGGGUUCUGAGAGGAAGGUCCCCCACAUUGGAACUGAGACACGGUCCAAACUCCUACGGGAGGCAGCAGUGAGGAAUAUUGGUCAAUGGGCGGAAGCCUGAACCAGCCAAGUAGCGUGCAGGAUGACGGCCCUAUGGGUUGUAAACUGCUUUUAUACAGGAAUAAAGUUAGCCACGUGUGGUUAUUUGUAGGUACUGUAUGAAUAAGCACCGGCUAACUACGUGCCAGCAGCCGCGGUAA
RNAcentral lists this ribosomal RNA (506 nucleotides) under uncultured bacterium. RNAcentral describes it as "partial 16S ribosomal RNA". It matches the Rfam family "Bacterial small subunit ribosomal RNA", at positions 28 to 523 of the family's 1533-position model. The record is from RNAcentral.